AUACGGAGGACGCGAGCGUUAUCCGGAUUCAUUGGGUUUAAAGGGUGCGCAGGCAGCCGUGCAAGUCAGCGGUGAAAGCCCGGGGCUCAACCCCGGAAGUGCCGUUGAUACUGCGUGGCUGGAACGCGGUCGAGGCGGGCGGAAAGGGGCGGGUAGCGGGGAAAUGCGUAGAUAUGCCACAGAACGCCGAUAGCGGAGGGAGCUCGCCAGGCCUGCAUUGACGCUCGGGCACGAAAGCGUGGGGAUCGAACAGGAUUAGAUACCCUGGUAGUCCACGCCGUAAACGAUGGGCGCUCGUCGACGGCGACAGACAGUCGGCGGCCAAGCGAAAGCGAUAAGCGCCCCACCUGGGGAGUACGGUCGCAAGGCUGAAACUCAAAUGAAUUGACGGGG
Molecule: ribosomal RNA, 393 nt
Filed under: uncultured bacterium
Lineage: Bacteria
Description: partial 16S ribosomal RNA
Rfam family: Bacterial small subunit ribosomal RNA
Source: RNAcentral